CCUCACCUUUCGAGCAUAUGUCCUCAAAAGGGAGCAAUGGUCUCGUAAGUUGUAAAUGACGAACCACCGACUCUUGAAAGUGGGUCAGUUGGUGGUAGCAGAAGCGCUCAAUCAUAGUGGGUUCACGGUCUUGCAGGAGUUCCUGCAGAGGUAUAAGAGCACCUCCUCUGCAGAGCCCAGAGAGAUGUAUAUGUUGGCCCCUCACUAGAAGCUCCAGUGUCCAUAUUUCUUGUCCAGGCGGGAACGUUGGGUUGCCUGUGGCAGGAUACAUUGGGCCGUUUAGUGUUGUGAGGGAGAACUGAAAACGGG
Molecule: non-coding RNA, 309 nt
Organism: Pelobates cultripes (western spadefoot toad)
Lineage: Eukaryota; Metazoa; Chordata; Amphibia; Anura; Pelobatidae
Source: the annotation of a GenBank genome assembly